GCGUUGAAAAGCUCGGGGAUGACUUGUGGGUAGCGGUGAAAUUCCAAUCGAGCCCGGAGAUAGCUGGUUCUCCCCGAAAUAGCUUUAGGGCUAGCCUCAAGGUGAGAGAUACGGAGGUAGAGCACUGAAUGUCCUAGGGGGUAUUGCACCUACCGAAGACUAUCAAACUCCGAAUGCCGUCAUCUUAUACUUGGGAGUCAGACUGUGGGUGAUAAGAUUCAUAGUCGAAAGGGCAACAGCCCAGAUCGUCAGCUAAGGUCCCUAAAUGUAAGUUAAGUGGUAAAGGAUGUGGGAUUGCACAGACAACCAGGAUGUUGGCUUAGAAGCAGCCACUCAUUCAAAGAGUGCGUAAUAGCUCACUGGUCGAGUGAUCCUGCGCCGAAGAUUUCCGGGGCUAAAACUUACUACCGAAGCUACGGCAUCAGUAAUGAUGGGUAGGGGAGCUUCCCAUACGGGUUGAAGCAUGACCGUAAGGACAUGUGGACAGUAUGGGAGUGAGAAUGUUGGCAUGAGUAGCGAGAUGUGGGUGAGAAUCCCACAGGCCGUAAACCCAA
RNAcentral lists this ribosomal RNA (554 nucleotides) under Clostridioides difficile. RNAcentral's name for it is "partial 23S ribosomal RNA". It matches the Rfam family "Bacterial large subunit ribosomal RNA", at positions 786 to 1348 of the family's 2925-position model. Lineage: Bacteria; Bacillati; Bacillota; Clostridia; Peptostreptococcales; Peptostreptococcaceae. The record is from RNAcentral.